This 3035-nucleotide long non-coding RNA is filed under the name Canis lupus familiaris (dog). RNAcentral's name for it is "lncRNA (ENSCAFG00845009770.1)". The record is from RNAcentral. Lineage: Eukaryota; Metazoa; Chordata; Mammalia; Carnivora; Canidae.
GCUCAAGACGGCGCUGCUGGCGGUGUUGUUGCGUGAGGGGGCUCCGGGUCAAGGCUGGGACGAGGCACACCUGUGCGAGCGGUUGGGAGAAUUAGUACAGUUCCUCCGGGACUGCCUGCUGCGGCGCCACACGCUCUUCCACUGCGUCCUGGGCCCUGGAGGGGCAGCUGCCGAGGUCGGCCCGCUGCCCAAGGUGCUGCGGGAAGCUGCCCCAGUCGACCUCCUGGCAGCGUUCGACAGGCACGCCCGGGAACUUGCGGCGGCGCGAUUGCUGUCCACAUGGCGAAGGCUGCCCCAGCUUCUCCGGGUCUACGGGGGUCCUCGCUACCUGGACAUGUGCCCUCAACCCAGGAGUCAGCGCACGCAGGGGUUCCCUGAAGAUCAGCCCUAAACCUGGACAGUGCGCCGCCAGGCCUAAUGCUCCUAUAGCCUCUCCCACCCCGUAGGGUGGGGAGGGCGAUGAAGCCAGUUUAAUGCAAGGAAAUGAGGUGCCAAGGGUGUUGGAAAAUUCGGAGGGUGACAUUUGGGGGCUUAAAUGUCACCCCGGGCUCUGCAAUCCAGUCUAGUUAUGGUGUCUUCUUCACACCCACCAGCGUGUCCUGAGCAAGCUACAGAAAGACCUCAAACACCAGCAGGGAAGAGUUGGUUCAAAAUGUUGGUUUGUGUGGAAUGAUUCCGUAGAAGGAUCCAGCUUCUAGGGAAGCCCAAUAAAGGAAGCAAGAACUAGCUACAGAGAAAGUUCCUUUGUCAGGUUUCGAGACCCAGAUCUCUGCCGCCCUUCCUCCCCUCACUGAAAGAAGCUAAUGGGUUUUUUUGUUGUUGUUGUUCUAACUGCCUGCUAUAUUUUGGGUUCCUGAUUGUCUUUUAAAAAAUCUGAAUCUUUGUCUACAACUGGAAUUUAAGUUCUAUUCUAGGGGCUCAUAUUGUGAGGAACAGUUUCCACUAUUCACAUUGAUAUUAAUGUGUUUCUUAAAUGGUGCAAUCAGGGCUGCUUGACAGGAUUGCAAAGAAUUAAGUCACAGGUGUUGAGAGGCAGUGAAGAGUUGGUUAGAGAAACUUCCAGAGCAGAUAGCACUUUAUUUUGAUCAGUCCUUUCAUUUUGUGGUAAUUGCCAGGGCCAAGUGUUGCAUCCCAAAGGGAGACCAGUUACUUUUGUUAUUAAGAAAUGUGCAGUCUUAAAAAGCAGGCUUGCUUAACCUGCCUGCAGGCACACACUGGGAUAUGUACCAGUCAACACCCAUUCGUAGCAGAAGAGCCCACGGGGAGCCAGGUAGGGUGCAAAGUAGCAAAAGAGAACAUGUUUAGAGGACAACACUGGCCAGGACUCAAAACAUGUUGGGUUUUGAGAAAGAUGCAUAUCAGUGUUUGCCUAUCAAGGUGACUCAUCAGAGCUUGCUGCUGGCUGGAGACAGAUACGGUGUUGUUUGAAGCCUUUUGAACAAACUCUUCUGCAUGGAAAUUUCUGCGCUUCAUGAGAUAAUGAGGAAAUGCCUGCUGUAGUGCCUAGCAUGGAGUUAGCUCUCUCGGCCACUGCUCAGUGAUGGUGAGUGGUUACCACGUUUCUCUCCCAUUGCCAUUGGCAGCCUGUAAGCGAUCCUAAGGCCAGCUCGGAGGAGCGAUUGAUUCAGCCCAGGUCUUGUAAGGCAUUUCCCAUAGAACUCAGGAUCUUGGGCUCCAUGCUCUCUGACCAUCCGGUCAGCAGUCAGUCAAGGAGAGCGAGUGAGGGGGAGGAGGGGGGCGGUGACAGCUCUUGCCAGCAGUGUGCUGGUUUUUUCUCUUUGGACAUACAUAUCCCCAACUCAGCUUAGGUUUAGGAGUAGUCCAUCAUCUGCUUGCCUAAUAGAAAAUGCAACCACUCCCACCCAGUGUUAGACUUUGAGACUUUAAAAAAAUCUUUUUUGGCAAAGGCAUGUAUUUCCUUAGACUCUUAAAGGUAAAACUUGGAAGACAGAAGUAGCCACCUGGAUAGGGCCAUGGUUUAACUUCUGAGUUAUUUUGAGGGAAUUCUUUAAACUUUCUUUCGGGGAUCUAUCUGGUCACUGCAGGAAACCAUUGGGAAUAAAUGAUUUGCAGGGAAUCCUUACGAGGGCUGCAGAGACUUCUUACAUCCUUUGCAACCUUGGACUGUAAGAGAAACCGUUGCAAAUGUCAUGCCUUCUCUUUGAGGUUGUUCUGAGGACAGUUCCUCUUGAUAUCAUAAAGGUCAUUCCCAGCCUUUAAGGUCAGUGGUAGGUCAUAAGGUACAGAGUUCAAGCAAAGGGAUCGGUCUACCAGCUUCUGCAAAGAUAUAAACUGCAUGGUGUUUCUUAAAAUUACUUUUUAAAACAGAUGAGAAGAGUAAGUAGAUCUUUAUAUACAUAUAUAUACAUAUAUAAAUAUAUAUUUAUAAUGUUUCCAUAUCAGCCACAGUUCCCCCUGUAGUCAUUAAGUCUACUGAAGUGGGAGCAGCAAGGCUAUUGGAGGAAUUAUAAAGCUUUAAAAGCUGAACUUUCCAAAUGUCUCCAGCUCAGCUGAUAGGUUCCUUUUUUUUUUUUUUUUUUUUAAUCUUACUCAUCUUUUGAAGUUUAAAUCUGGUAACAUUCUGUUCUUGUAGUGGUUUCGUUAUGUUUUUUCAGGUUAAUUACCCAAAGCCUCAUCCAUCCUCAAGAAUUUAAAAUUUUAUUAUUAUGUUUUAAUUAGUGGGGCAUUGUGUUUGUGAAUUUUUUAAAUAUUAAUGUCUUAUUUAAGGGCCAUGCUGAGCGAUUGUUCUCUGUACAUGGCAACCAAAACUCAGAGAUUUCGAUCAAUUUUGAUCAAUGUUUAGCGAUCCCAAACAUGUACUGUGUACAAAUGAAAUAAUAAGGCGUAUUAGCCAGGUGUGAUGGCUGCCCCGAGGCACUUAAACUAAGCUAAAUUCUGUAUUUUAUCAGGGCUCCAUCACAUCCUUGAUCUGAAAUGUACACAUUUUUGGUGUAUACUUGGUACUAGAGAUUCAUGUAUGCAAAUAUUCUUAUUCAAGAAACUGCAAAAUUGCUUGUUAAAAAAAAAAAAAAAAA